AAACCAUGAUUCGAGAAUUUUUUUAAUUAGUUCCUUCAAAUCCUCUCAUGCUUCAUAUAAUGUCUCAUCUUUAGAUUGCCUAAACGAUGUAAUGUCGUUCCUAAGCUU
Small nucleolar RNA from Gossypium raimondii (Peruvian cotton), 108 nucleotides. It matches the Rfam family "Plant small nucleolar RNA R71". From Rfam's summary of the family: R71 is a member of the C/D box family of snoRNAs containing the C (UGAUGA) and D (CUGA) box motifs. Multiple nearly identical copies of this snoRNA have been identified in Arabidopsis, and it is thought to function as a 2'-O-ribose methylation guide for 18S ribosomal RNA. Lineage: Eukaryota; Viridiplantae; Streptophyta; Magnoliopsida; Malvales; Malvaceae. The record is from Rfam.